UGUGGGGAAGGUAUAUCACACACCAGUUCUGCUACGUAGUUCGAAUUCUUCGAGCUCAAAAUUGGUCCGAAUUCAAAAUGACGUCGUUUUAAAUUUUUUUUUUUUCUUCUGGCAGCAGAAGAACAAAGAAGAAGAAGAAGAAGAAGAAUGAGAAAGAAAGAAAGAAGAGAAAAUGAGAGCAGCAAAGCAGAGUAGAGAGAGAGAGAUCCAAAAAUGACGUAUCAUCAUCAACAACGUAUCAUCAUCUCUGUGUGAGGGGAAGCAGAAGAACAAAGAAGAAGAAGAAGAAGAAGAAGAAGAAGAAGAAGGAGAAAGAAAGAAAGAAGAGAAAAUGAGAGCAGCAAAGCAGAGUAGAGAGAGAGAGAGAUCCAAAAAUGACGUAUCAUCAUCAACAACGUAUCAUCAUCUCUGUGUGAGAGAGAGAGGCAUCGACAACAUAUCAUCAUCAACAAUCCAAGAG
This is a non-coding RNA of Camellia sinensis, 460 nucleotides long. Lineage: Eukaryota; Viridiplantae; Streptophyta; Magnoliopsida; Ericales; Theaceae. The record is from RefSeq and is a predicted model, not a curated record.